This 73-nucleotide transfer RNA is filed under the name Thermosediminibacter oceani DSM 16646. It matches the Rfam family "tRNA". From Rfam's summary of the family: Transfer RNA (tRNA) molecules are approximately 80 nucleotides in length. Their secondary structure includes four short double-helical elements and three loops (D, anti-codon, and T loops). The record is from Rfam by way of RNAcentral. Lineage: Bacteria; Bacillati; Bacillota; Clostridia; Thermosediminibacterales; Thermosediminibacteraceae.
GGGGGUGUAGCUCAGUUGGGAGAGCACCUGCUUUGCACGCAGGGGGUCAGGAGUUCGAAUCUCCUCAUCUCCA